GGGGGCCCGCACAAGCGGUGGAGCAUGUGGUUUAAUUCGAAGCAACGCGAAGAACCUUACCAGGUCUUGACAUCCUUUGACCACUCUAGAGAUAGAGCUUCCCCUUCGGGGGCAAAGUGACAGGUGGUGCAUGGUUGUCGUCAGCUCGUGUCGUGAGAUGUUGGGUUAAGUCCCGCAACGAGCGCAACCCUUAUUGUUAGUUGCCAUCAUUCAGUUGGGCACUCUAGCAAGACUGCCGGUGACAAACCGGAGGAAGGUGGGGAUGACGUCAAAUCAUCAUGCCCCUUAUGACCUGGGCUACACACGUGCUACAAUGGGAAGUACAACGAGUUGCGAAGUCGCGAGGCUAAGCUAAUCUCUUAAAGCUUCUCUCAGUUCGGAUUGCAGGCUGCAACUCGCCUGCAUGAAGCCGGAAUCGCUAGUAAUCGCGGAUCAGCACGCCGCGGUGAAUACGUUCCCGGGCCUUGUACACACCGCCCGUCACACCACGAGAGUUUGUAACACCCGAAGUCGGUGAGGUAACCUUUUGGAGCCAGCCGCCUAAGGUGGGAUAGAUGAUUGGGGUGAAGUCGUAACAAGGUAGCCGUAUCGGAAGGUGCGGCUG
RNAcentral lists this ribosomal RNA (604 nucleotides) under Enterococcus faecium. RNAcentral's name for it is "bacterial SSU rRNA". It matches the Rfam family "Bacterial small subunit ribosomal RNA", at positions 915 to 1520 of the family's 1533-position model. The record is from RNAcentral. Lineage: Bacteria; Bacillati; Bacillota; Bacilli; Lactobacillales; Enterococcaceae.